This 1004-nucleotide long non-coding RNA is filed under the name Mus musculus (house mouse). RNAcentral describes it as "predicted gene, 48623". The record is from RNAcentral. Lineage: Eukaryota; Metazoa; Chordata; Mammalia; Rodentia; Muridae.
GAGGAAAAGGGAGUCCCCUGCCUUUGCAGUUACAAGUGAACAACUAUUGUGUGCUAGGUGCUGGAGAUCCCGAGGAAAAUGUGGACCCAGCUUUUACAAGGUCGGUAGCUGGGGUGUAAAUAAUUAUAAUAUACGACCAAACAUCUAGUAAAAAGAUUUAUAGGGUGACCCUCCAGCAGGAGAGAUUUCACUGACACUAGAACACUUCACUUUGUGGAUUAAAUCUAAGUAGUAAGGUUGCUGCCAAAAGGUACGAGACCUGGGUGCUAAGGCCCUGGAUGAGUCUGCUCAGGGUCCUGUCUCACGUUGAGAACCAGGAAGACUCGGUCUUUUGCUAGUGAAUGGCCUUAAAUAUCCUAUCUUCAGAAAGAUCUCCCUGGGGGACGGUUAAUGACACAUCCGAAGGAGAUACCAAAGACAACUGAGCGGAGCCUACAGCUGAACAGGAAGUUAAGCAUCUCUGCUGUGCUAUCUACUCUGCUUGGUGUCUGACUCUCCUGCAUCCCAGCUCAUCCAGGAAGCACAGAUGAGAAAACUGAAGCUCAGAGAACAGUCCAGUGCACAGGGAUGGCAGGUGGCUAAGGCUGAGUUCCUAUCUACUGUUCUUGUCGGUGGUUCAGGAGCCCGUGCAGACGGGGACGCCACGGUCCGUGUUUAACAGAUGAAUGAGGCAACUGAUGAGUCCUGUGUGGGAAAAAGAAGGUGGGACUGGGUCACCACCGGCUCUUUGCUCUUUCUGCUGACUCACAGCACCCUCCUCCUCUCCCUCCUCCUCUCUGCCCUCAUCCCCUCAUCUUGGUGUCCAUUUCCUGCUUCUGCAAAGACAGAAGGACCAUGGAUGAAGCAGCCGACCUCAGCUCUCCCGCAGGUUAGCAGGCCAAGCUUAAUCACCCCCACCUCUAGCCUCCUUCCAUCCUCGAUGUCUCUUCCCCACCACCCACCACCAGUGAUCCAACGUGCAUAGUUGUAAACUUGUUUCUUUAAAUAAACAGCCUCGAGUUUCA